AGCCUGAUCCAGCCAUGCCGCGUGUGUGAAGAAGGCCUUCGGAUUGUAAAGCACUUUAAGUUGGGAGGAAGGGCAGUAACCUAAUACCUUGCUGUUUUGACGUUACCGACAGAAUAAGCACCGGCUAACUCUGUGCCAGCAGCCGCGGUAAU
Molecule: ribosomal RNA, 152 nt
Filed under: uncultured bacterium
Lineage: Bacteria
Description: partial 16S ribosomal RNA
Rfam family: Bacterial small subunit ribosomal RNA
Source: RNAcentral